This 2923-nucleotide ribosomal RNA is filed under the name Klebsiella pneumoniae. RNAcentral describes it as "bacterial LSU rRNA". It matches the Rfam family "Bacterial large subunit ribosomal RNA". The record is from RNAcentral. Lineage: Bacteria; Pseudomonadati; Pseudomonadota; Gammaproteobacteria; Enterobacterales; Enterobacteriaceae.
GGGUUGUGAGGUUAAGCGACUAAGCGUACACGGUGGAUGCCCUGGCAGUCAGAGGCGAUGAAGGACGUGCUAAUCUGCGAAAAGCGUCGGUAAGGUGAUAUGAACCGUUAUAACCGGCGAUGUCCGAAUGGGGAAACCCAGUGUGAUUCGUCACACUAUCGUUAACUGAAUACAUAGGUUAACGAGGCGAACCGGGGGAACUGAAACAUCUAAGUACCCCGAGGAAAAGAAAUCAACCGAGAUUCCCCCAGUAGCGGCGAGCGAACGGGGAGCAGCCCAGAGUCUGAAUCAGCUUGUGUGUUAGUGGAACGGUCUGGAAAGUCCGACGGUACAGGGUGAUAGUCCCGUACACCAAAAUGCACAGGUUGUGAACUCGAAGAGUAGGGCGGGACACGUGGUAUCCUGUCUGAAUAUGGGGGGACCAUCCUCCAAGGCUAAAUACUCCUGACUGACCGAUAGUGAACCAGUACCGUGAGGGAAAGGCGAAAAGAACCCCGGCGAGGGGAGUGAAAAAGAACCUGAAACCGUGUACGUACAAGCAGUGGGAGCACCUUCGGGUGUGACUGCGUACCUUUUGUAUAAUGGGUCAGCGACUUAUAUUCUGUAGCAAGGUUAACCGUAUAGGGGAGCCGCAGGGAAACCGAGUCUUAACUGGGCGUUAAGUUGCAGGGUAUAGACCCGAAACCCGGUGAUCUAGCCAUGGGCAGGUUGAAGGUUGGGUAACACUAACUGGAGGACCGAACCGACUAAUGUUGAAAAAUUAGCGGAUGACUUGUGGCUGGGGGUGAAAGGCCAAUCAAACCGGGAGAUAGCUGGUUCUCCCCGAAAGCUAUUUAGGUAGCGCCUCGUGAAUUCAUCUUCGGGGGUAGAGCACUGUUUCGGCUAGGGGGUCAUCCCGACUUACCAACCCGAUGCAAACUACGAAUACCGAAGAAUGUUAUCACGGGAGACACACGGCGGGUGCUAACGUCCGUCGUGAAGAGGGAAACAACCCAGACCGCCAGCUAAGGUCCCAAAGUCAUGGUUAAGUGGGAAACGAUGUGGGAAGGCACAGACAGCCAGGAUGUUGGCUUAGAAGCAGCCAUCAUUUAAAGAAAGCGUAAUAGCUCACUGGUCGAGUCGGCCUGCGCGGAAGAUGUAACGGGGCUAAACCAUGCACCGAAGCUGCGGCAGCGACACUAUGUGUUGUUGGGUAGGGGAGCGUUCUGUAAGCCUGCGAAGGUGACCUGUGAGGGUUGCUGGAGGUAUCAGAAGUGCGAAUGCUGACAUAAGUAACGAUAAAGCGGGUGAAAAGCCCGCUCGCCGGAAGACCAAGGGUUCCUGUCCAACGUUAAUCGGGGCAGGGUGAGUCGACCCCUAAGGCGAGGCCGAAAGGCGUAGUCGAUGGGAAACAGGUUAAUAUUCCUGUACUUGGUGUUACUGCGAAGGGGGGACGGAGAAGGCUAUGUUAGCCGGGCGACGGUUGUCCCGGUUUAAGCAUGUAGGCUGAUUGUCCAGGCAAAUCCGGAUAAUCAAGGCUGAGGUGUGAUGACGAGGCACUACGGUGCUGAAGUAACAAAUGCCCUGCUUCCAGGAAAAGCCUCUAAGCAUCAGGUAACAUUAAAUCGUACCCCAAACCGACACAGGUGGUCAGGUAGAGAAUACCAAGGCGCUUGAGAGAACUCGGGUGAAGGAACUAGGCAAAAUGGUGCCGUAACUUCGGGAGAAGGCACGCUGGUGUGUAGGUGAAGUCCCUGCGGAUGGAGCUGAGACCAGUCGAAGAUACCAGCUGGCUGCAACUGUUUAUUAAAAACACAGCACUGUGCAAACACGAAAGUGGACGUAUACGGUGUGACGCCUGCCCGGUGCCGGAAGGUUAAUUGAUGGGGUUAUCCGUAAGGAGAAGCUCUUGAUCGAAGCCCCGGUAAACGGCGGCCGUAACUAUAACGGUCCUAAGGUAGCGAAAUUCCUUGUCGGGUAAGUUCCGACCUGCACGAAUGGCGUAAUGAUGGCCAGGCUGUCUCCACCCGAGACUCAGUGAAAUUGAACUCGCUGUGAAGAUGCAGUGUACCCGCGGCAAGACGGAAAGACCCCGUGAACCUUUACUAUAGCUUGACACUGAACAUUGAGCCUUGAUGUGUAGGAUAGGUGGGAGGCUUUGAAGCGUGGACGCCAGUCUGCGUGGAGCCAACCUUGAAAUACCACCCUUUAAUGUUUGAUGUUCUAACGUUGGCCCCUUACCGGGGUUGCGGACAGUGUCUGGUGGGUAGUUUGACUGGGGCGGUCUCCUCCCAAAGCGUAACGGAGGAGCACGAAGGUUAGCUAAUCCUGGUCGGACAUCAGGAGGUUAGUGCAAUGGCAUAAGCUAGCUUGACUGCGAGCGUGACGGCGCGAGCAGGUGCGAAAGCAGGUCAUAGUGAUCCGGUGGUUCUGAAUGGAAGGGCCAUCGCUCAACGGAUAAAAGGUACUCCGGGGAUAACAGGCUGAUACCGCCCAAGAGUUCAUAUCGACGGCGGUGUUUGGCACCUCGAUGUCGGCUCAUCACAUCCUGGGGCUGAAGUAGGUCCCAAGGGUAUGGCUGUUCGCCAUUUAAAGUGGUACGCGAGCUGGGUUUAGAACGUCGUGAGACAGUUCGGUCCCUAUCUGCCGUGGGCGCUGGAGAAUUGAGGGGGGCUGCUCCUAGUACGAGAGGACCGGAGUGGACGCAUCACUGGUGUUCGGGUUGUCAUGCCAAUGGCACUGCCCGGUAGCUAAAUGCGGAAGAGAUAAGUGCUGAAAGCAUCUAAGCACGAAACUUGCCCCGAGAUGAGUUCUCCCUGAGACUUUAAGUCUCCUGAAGGAACGUUAAAGACGAUGACGUUGAUAGGCCGGGUGUGUAAGCGCAGCGAUGCGUUGAGCUAACCGGUACUAAUGAACCGUGAGGCUUAACCUUACAACGCCGAAG